UGGAUCACCUCCUAACAGGGAGACAACAAAAUGUUAAAUAUUAAUUUUGUCACCUUAGGUCGAUCGGUAUCUCACAUUCUUAAUUUAUUAAGGAUUUUAUUUCCUAAGUUUUUUCUAGGUCACACCCAUUACUUUUCCUGGGCCAUUAGCUCAGGUGGUUAGAGCGCACCCCUGAUAAGGGUGAGGUCCCUGGUUCAAGUCCAGGAUGGCCCAUAUCUCUAUGUUGGGGGUAUAGCUCAGUUGGUAGAGCGCCUGCUUUGCAAGCAGGAUGUCAGCGGUUCGAGUCCGCUUACCUCCACUGAUCACCACCUCUUCCAUAUUUUAAAGAAAGGAAAUGUUUUGAGUUGUGAUCAAAUUCUGAACGAAUCUAGCUUCCUAAUCAAACUUAUUAAGAUGCUGGACUCAUUGAAUUAAAUUCAUUGUUUUCAGAGAACCUUGACAACUGCAUAGAUUAUUUUUAAAGACAAUAAGCAUCUUUAAUGAUGCAGAUUUAUUAUUUGUGCGAAUGCAUUAAUAACAAUUCUAUUAAGCUGAUGCUUCAAUUUUUGAAGUUAUUGGUCAAGCUACAAAGGGCUCACGGAGGAUACCUAGGCACACAGAGGCGAUGAAGG
Molecule: transfer RNA, 611 nt
Filed under: uncultured Prochlorococcus sp.
Lineage: Bacteria; Bacillati; Cyanobacteriota; Cyanophyceae; Synechococcales; Prochlorococcaceae
Description: partial contains 16S ribosomal RNA, 16S-23S ribosomal RNA intergenic spacer, and 23S ribosomal RNA
Rfam family: tRNA (bases 226-298)
Source: RNAcentral